GUAGGUGGCAAGCGUUGUCCGGAAUUAUUGGGCGUAAAGCGCGCGCAGGUGGUUCUUUAAGUCUGAUGUGCAAGCCCCCGGCUCAACCGGGGAGGGUCAUUGGAAACUGGGGAACUUGAGUGCAGGAGAGGAAAGUGGAAUUCCACGUGUAGCGGUGAAAUGCGUAGAUAUGUGGAGGAACACCAGUGGCGAAGGCGACUUUCUGGCCUGUAACUGACACUGAGGCGCGAAAGCGUGGGGAGCAAACAGGGAUUAGAUACCCUGGUAGUCCACGCCGUAAACGAUGAGUGCUAAGUGUUGGGGGGGUUUCCCGCCCCUCAGUGCUGCAGCUAACGCAUUAAGCACUCCGCCCCGGGGAGUACGGUCGCAAGACUG
Molecule: ribosomal RNA, 375 nt
Filed under: uncultured organism
Description: partial 16S ribosomal RNA
Rfam family: Bacterial small subunit ribosomal RNA
Source: RNAcentral